Long non-coding RNA from Ostrea edulis (European flat oyster), 376 nucleotides. RefSeq lists it as uncharacterized. The transcript is spliced from 3 exons. The record is from RefSeq and is a predicted model, not a curated record. Lineage: Eukaryota; Metazoa; Mollusca; Bivalvia; Ostreida; Ostreidae.
UCCGCCGAUGACGUGAUACUUGUGUAUAUAAUGAACGACUUUGUGAGUCGUAUAGUCUGUGGUAAGUGACGUUCGCUGCUUUCGGAGUUGCCACUGGGAUCGUAUUCAAAAUGGUAUUGCUGUCCAUCAUCAUCGUUUACGGUGUUAUACUCAACGCCUUUGUAUUUGCUUACCCCCAUACCAGGGAUACAAUGGGUAUCACAAAUGGUAAAUUUAUGGUGAAACUGCAGAACUUCAAGCGAGGAACCGAGAAUAUGCUAUUGAAAAGCCACCACAUGGUAAUUAGACAGCACAGAUGAACACACUUUGUUGAUCUGGUGAAUUGCGGCAAAUAAUGAAGAAACAAUUUACGCCUUUAAUAAAAGAUUAUUCCUCA